This 492-nucleotide ribosomal RNA is filed under the name uncultured bacterium. RNAcentral's name for it is "partial 16S ribosomal RNA". It matches the Rfam family "Bacterial small subunit ribosomal RNA", at positions 29 to 507 of the family's 1533-position model. The record is from RNAcentral.
AGUGAACGCUGGCGGUAUGCCUAACACAUGCAAGUCGAACGGCACCUCAGUAAGAGCUUGCUCUUACGGGUGGCGAGUGGCGGACGGGUGAGGAACACAUCGGAAUCUACUUUUUCGUCGGCGAUAACGUAGGGAAACUUACGCCAAUACCGCAUACGACCUACCAUUGAAAUCAGUGCAUCUUCGGACCUUGCGCGAUUGAAUCUGCCCUUGUCGGAUUAGCUAGUUGGCGGGGUAAAGGCCCACCAAGGCGACGAUGCGUAGCUGAUCUGAGAGGAUGAUCAGCCACACUGGAACUGAGACACGGUCCAGACUCCUACGGGAGGCAGCAGUGGGGAAUAUUGGACAAUGGGCGCAAGCCUGAUCCAGCCAUACCGCGUGGGUGAAGAAGGCCUUCGGGUUGUAAAACCCUUUUGUUGGGAAAGAAAAGCAGCAGGUUAAUACCUCGCUGUUCUGACGGUACCCAAAGAAUAAGCACCGGCUAACUUCGUG